GACGAACGCUGGCGGCGUGCUUAACACAUGCAAGUCGAACGGAAAGGCCCUGCUUUUGUACGAUGCUCGAGUGCCGAACGGGUGUGUAACACGUGUGUAACCUGCCCUUUACUUUGGGAGAACUUCAGGAAACUCGGGUUAAUACCGCGUAUAAGCUCCUGCUACAUGGUGGGUGUGGGAAAGUUUCGCCGGUUGGGGAUGGACUCGCGGUUUAUCAGCUUGUUGGUGGGGUAGUGGAUUACAAAGGCUUUGACGGGUAGCCGGCCUGAGAGGGUGACCGGCCACAUUGUGCCUGAGAUAGGGACCAGAGUGCAACGGGAGGCAGCAGUGGGAAACAUUGCACAAUGGGCGGAAGGCUGAUGCAGGAACGUCGGGUGCGGGAUGACGGUCUUCGGGGUAGAAACCGCUUUAGCCUGUGACGAAGCGUGAGUGACGGUAAUGGGUAAAGAAGCAACGGCUAACUACGUG
Molecule: ribosomal RNA, 468 nt
Filed under: uncultured bacterium
Lineage: Bacteria
Description: partial 16S ribosomal RNA
Rfam family: Bacterial small subunit ribosomal RNA
Source: RNAcentral